UGUCCUCAAGUAUGACUUACGACCUCGGAUAGAGUCUAUUGGAGGGCAUGGAUCCAUGUACCAGACCCCAUUUAGCUGAGAUUCUCUUAACUUGCUAGGUUGUGCCUCUUUCCUCUUACUUUAAUCUUUAAUCUUUCAUUUUU
Telopea speciosissima is the source of this 143-nucleotide long non-coding RNA. RefSeq lists it as uncharacterized. The transcript has 3 exons. The record is from RefSeq and is a predicted model, not a curated record. NCBI's taxonomy places the organism in Eukaryota, Viridiplantae, Streptophyta, Magnoliopsida, Proteales, Proteaceae.